CGCGGGGUAGAGCAGCUUGGUAGCUCGUCGGGCUCAUAACCCGGAGGUCGCAGGUUCAAAUCCUGUCCCCGCUACCA
Molecule: transfer RNA, 77 nt
Filed under: Candidatus Scalindua arabica
Lineage: Bacteria; Pseudomonadati; Planctomycetota; Candidatus Brocadiia; Candidatus Brocadiales; Candidatus Scalinduaceae
Also listed under: 10 other names
Description: tRNA-Met
Rfam family: tRNA
About the family: Transfer RNA (tRNA) molecules are approximately 80 nucleotides in length.
Source: RNAcentral